Gorilla gorilla gorilla (western lowland gorilla) is the source of this 1175-nucleotide long non-coding RNA. RefSeq lists it as uncharacterized. Lineage: Eukaryota; Metazoa; Chordata; Mammalia; Primates; Hominidae. The record is from RefSeq and is a predicted model, not a curated record. The transcript is spliced from 3 exons.
AUGAGGUCAUGGCUGGGUGUGGUGACUCACACCUGUAAUCCCAGCACUUUGGGAGGCCAAGGCAGGCGGAUCACUUGAGGUCAGGGGUUCGAGACCGGCCCGGCCAACAUGGUGACACCCCGUCUCCAUUAAAAACACAAAAAUUAGCCUGGCAUGGUGGCAGGCACCUAUAAUCCCAGCUACUCGGGAGGCUGAGGCAGGAGAAUCACUUGAACCUGGGGGAUGGAGGUUGCAGUGAGCCAAGAUCAUGCCAUUGCACUCCAGCCUGGGUAACAGAGUGCAAUUCCAUCUCAAAAAAAAAAAAAAAAAUGAGGUCAUUAGGGUGGUCCCUAAUUCAAUAUGACUGGUGUCCUCUUGUAAAAAGGGAAAAUCAGGAGAUAGACUUGCCUACGGGGAGAACAGCACAUGAACAUGACAGUCACUUCCAAGCCACAGGAAGAGGCCUGGAACAGAUUCUCCCUCACGGCCCUCCGAAGGAACCAAUCCUGUUGACACCUUGAUUUCCGACUUUGAGCCUUCAGAACUGUGAGGCAAUCAAUUUCUUAUAGUCAGCUGCCCAGGCUGUGGUUCUUUGUUAUAGCAGCCCUAGCAAACUAAUACAGUGUUGCUUUGUAAUCAGAAUUGGUUUUUAAAGUCCAAGUCAAAAUACCAUAAGAAUAGGCUUUGACCAAUUUCCUUCUCCUUUUUUUAGUCUCUCACAUUCUUUUUCAAGUGUGGUACCUUUUCACGGCGAAACCUCUGUGCUAUAAUACUAAAGUCUAUUGUCAUGAGUGAAACGAAGCUGGAUGGAAGGAAUUAUAGUAUGAAGUAAAUGCCACCAAGUACUGUUUCAGCAUGACAAGUAUCUGAAGAGCUAGGGAAUGCUCAAGGAGAUUAAAACUGAUCUUUGUGUUUUAGAAAAGUUCAUAUUAAGCACUAUGAACAUGUACUAGUAUAAUAAGAUGAGAGAAAUUUGAUGAAAACCAGGAGGUUACGUCAGCAGUCAAGCAUGAGGCUCUGGAGCAAAACUCUUGAUUUGAAGGGAAGUGGUGUGACUUGGUUUUGUAUUCAAUGUCUAUUCUUUGCACAUGGAGGAAAGACACAGUCCUAUUCCACCCGUGGGGUUCACCUGUAGUUGCUUCUUGCUGUUGACAUCAUGGUGGGGCACAGAGACAGCAUCUAAUUCAUCUUUGUCA